CUUACGGGUGGCAGCAGUGGGGAAUAUUGGACAAUGGGGGGAACCCUGAUCCAGCCAUGCCGCGUGUGUGAAGAAGGCCCUCGGGUUGUAAAGCACUUUCAGUGAGGAAGAACGCCUGGUGGUUAAUACCCAUCAGGAAAGACAUCACUCACAGAAGAAGCACCGGCUAACUCCGUGCCAGCAGCCGCGGUAAUACGGAGGGUGCGAGCGUUAAUCGGAAUUACUGGGCGUAAAGCGCGCGUAGGUGGCUUGAUAAGCCGGUUGUGAAAGCCCCGGGCUCAACCUGGGAACGGCAUCCGGAACUGUCAAGCUAGAGUGCAGGAGAGGAAGGUAGAAUUCCCGGUGUAGCGGUGAAAUGCGUAGAGAUCGGGAGGAAUACCAGUGGCGAAGGCGGCCUUCUGGACUGACACUGACACUGAGGUGCGAAAGCGUGGGUAGCAAACAGGAUUAGAUACCCUGGUAGUC
This 465-nucleotide ribosomal RNA is filed under the name Vreelandella stevensii. RNAcentral describes it as "partial 16S ribosomal RNA". It matches the Rfam family "Bacterial small subunit ribosomal RNA", at positions 338 to 795 of the family's 1533-position model. The record is from RNAcentral. Lineage: Bacteria; Pseudomonadati; Pseudomonadota; Gammaproteobacteria; Oceanospirillales; Halomonadaceae.